Brassica oleracea var. oleracea is the source of this 1830-nucleotide RNA transcript. It is a transcript of the gene named protein TRANSPARENT TESTA 12, with no coding region annotated. NCBI's taxonomy places the organism in Eukaryota, Viridiplantae, Streptophyta, Magnoliopsida, Brassicales, Brassicaceae. The transcript has 8 exons. The record is from RefSeq and is a predicted model, not a curated record.
CACACACACACACACAAAAGAGAGAGAUAGACACUAUAUUCUUUCCCAGAUUUCCAUUUAUUAUUUUCUCAAAUAUUCCAGCAAAAAAUAAAGAGAUAAUGAAUUCAGAAUCGUUAGAAAAUCUCCACCGACCACUGAUUGAAUCAUCGAAAUCGUUCAUCGACUACCGGCUCGAGACUGUCUUAACUGACCGAGAACUGCCAUACCUCCGCCGGAUCUACCUGGCGAUGAUGAUAGAGAUGAAGUUCCUCUUCCACCUUGCCGCUCCGGCGAUCUUCGUCUACGUCAUUAACAACGGAAUGUCCAUCCUCACUCGUAUCUUCGCCGGCCACGUAGGCAGCUCGCAACUCGCCGCCGCUUCACUCGGAAACAGUGGUUUCAACAUGUUCACUUAUGGACUUCUGCUCGGUAUGGGAAGUGCGGUGGAGACGUUAUGUGGACAAGCGCAUGGAGCUCAUCGUUACGAGAUGCUCGGCGUGUACCUCCAAAGAUCAACGGUGGUUCUCAUCAUCACCUGUCUCCCCAUGUCGCUCCUCUUCAUCUUCUCCAAGCCUCUCCUCAACACACUCGGCGAGCCAGAACAAGUCGCGUCAAUGGCUUCCGUCUUCGUCUACGGCAUGAUCCCAGUGAUAUUCGCCUACGCAGUUAACUUCCCCAUCCAGAAGUUCCUCCAAGCUCAGAGCAUCGUCACGCCGAGCGCUUACAUCUCCGCAGCUACUCUGGUCAUCCACCUUGUCCUCUCAUGGAUCGCUGUGUAUCGACUAGGGUUUGGUCUCUUGGCUUUGUCUUUGAUCCAUAGCUUGUCGUGGUGGAUCAUCGUCGCGGCUCAGAUUGUUUACAUCAAGAUGAGUCCGAAAUGUCGCCGGACGUGGGAAGGUUUUAGCUGGAAAGCUUUUGAAGGUCUUUGGGACUUUUUCCGGUUAUCGGCGGCUUCAGCGGUGAUGCUCUGCCUAGAGUCGUGGUACUCUCAGAUUCUUGUUUUACUCGCCGGACUUCUCAAGAACCCUGAGCUUGCUUUGGAUUCUUUAGCUAUAUGCAUGUCAAUUUCUGCAAUCUCGUUCAUGGUCUCCGUUGGAUUCAACGCAGCUGCAAGUGUGAGAGUAAGCAAUGAGUUAGGAGCUGGAAAUCCAAGAGCGGCUGCGUUUUCAACGUUUGUAACGACAGGAGUAUCAUUAUUGCUAGCGGUUUUUGAAGCCGUUGUGGUCAUGUCGUGGCGAAAUGUCAUCAGCUAUGCGUUUACUGAUAGUCCUGAGGUGGCCGAGGCCGUUGCGGAUUUAUCUCCCUUUUUAGCCAUCACCAUUGUCCUCAAUGGAGUUCAGCCUGUUUUGUCAGGUGUGGCUGUUGGGUGUGGAUGGCAAGCAUUUGUGGCGUACGUUAACAUUGGUUGUUACUACGUUGUGGGAAUUCCGAUUGGGUUCGUACUUGGUUUCACCUAUGACAUGGGAGCAAAGGGAAUAUGGACAGGGAUGAUUGGUGGCACAUUAAUGCAAACCAUAAUCCUAGUGAUUGUUACCUUUAGAACUGAUUGGGAUAAAGAGGUGGAGAAAGCUUCGAGCCGACUGGACCAAUGGGAAGAGAGCCGUGAGCCGCUUCUGAAGCAGUAAACAAUGGUCAAUAUUUUUGAGAGUAUUACAUGAAAGAUGCCAAUUUAAUUGAUAAACACACAUAUUUUUUCAAUCGAAAAAUGUAUGUUGUUUUGUUGAUUAAUGACUCGGAAAUUUAUUUAUUUAUUCCUGGAAAAAGGGGGAGAGGAAACAAAAUUGUAAUCAGUAUUUCAGUGUGAGAGUGAAUAUAUGUAUUUUUAUUAAAGAGAGUGAGUUUUCACACCAA